GACGUAGGGGGCGAGCGUUGUCCGGAUUUAUUGGGCGUAAAGAGCGCGUAGGCGGCCCGUUAAGUCGGAUGUGAAAACCCGUGGCUCAACCACGGGCCUGCAUCCGAUACUGGCGGGCUCGAGGCAGGCAGGGGAGAUCGGAAUUCCUGGUGUAGCGGUGAAAUGCGUAGAUAUCGCUUGGAACGCCGAAGGUGAAAACAGGCUGCUGGGGUUGCGCCGACGCUGAGACACGAAAGCCAGGGGAGCAAACGGG
Molecule: ribosomal RNA, 253 nt
Filed under: uncultured bacterium
Lineage: Bacteria
Description: partial 16S ribosomal RNA
Rfam family: Bacterial small subunit ribosomal RNA
Source: RNAcentral